RNAcentral lists this ribosomal RNA (253 nucleotides) under uncultured bacterium. RNAcentral describes it as "partial 16S ribosomal RNA". It matches the Rfam family "Bacterial small subunit ribosomal RNA", at positions 524 to 776 of the family's 1533-position model. The record is from RNAcentral.
UACGGAGGGGGUUAGCGUUGUUCGGAAUGACUGGGCGUAAAGCGCGCGUAGGCGGAUCAUCAAGUCGGGGGUGAAAUCCCGGGGCUCAACCCCGGAAUGGCCUUCGAGACUGGUGGUCUUGAGUUCGAGAGAGGUGAGUGGAAUUCCGAGUGUAGAGGUGAAAUUCGUAGAUAUUCGGAGGAACACCAGUGGCGAAGGCGACUGACUGGACAUGUAUUGACGCUGAGGUGCGAAAGCGUGGGGAGCAAACAGG